UACGGGGGGAGCAAGCGUUGUUCGGAUUUACUGGGCGUAAAGGGCGCGUAGGCGGUAGGACAAGUCAGUUGUGAAAUCUCCGGGCUUAACUCGGAAAGGUCAACUGAUACUGUGCGACUAGAGUGCAGAAGGGGCAACUGGAAUUCUCGGUGUAGCGGUGAAAUGCGUAGAUAUCGAGAGGAACACCUGCGGCGAAGGCGGGUUGCUGGGCUGACACUGACGCUGAGGCGCGAAAGCCAGGGGAGCGAACGGG
Molecule: ribosomal RNA, 253 nt
Filed under: uncultured bacterium
Lineage: Bacteria
Description: partial 16S ribosomal RNA
Rfam family: Bacterial small subunit ribosomal RNA
Source: RNAcentral